This 514-nucleotide ribosomal RNA is filed under the name Salmonella enterica. RNAcentral describes it as "bacterial LSU rRNA". It matches the Rfam family "Bacterial large subunit ribosomal RNA", at positions 1243 to 1757 of the family's 2925-position model. Lineage: Bacteria; Pseudomonadati; Pseudomonadota; Gammaproteobacteria; Enterobacterales; Enterobacteriaceae. RNAcentral also lists the same sequence under 1 other name. The record is from RNAcentral.
UAAGCCUGUGAAGGUGGCCUGUGAGGGUUGCUGGAGGUAUCAGAAGUGCGAAUGCUGACAUAAGUAACGAUAAAGCGGGUGAAAAGCCCGCUCGCCGGAAGACCAAGGGUUCCUGUCCAACGUUAAUCGGGGCAGGGUGAGUCGACCCCUAAGGCGAGGCCGAAAGGCGUAGUCGAUGGGAAACGGGUUAAUAUUCCCGUACUUGGUGUUACUGCGAAGGGGGGACGGAGAAGGCUAUGUUGGCCGGGCGACGGUUGUCCCGGUUUAAGCGUGUAGGUGUGUGUUCCAGGUAAAUCCGGUUCACUUUAACACUGAGGCGUGAUGACGAGGCACUAUGGUGCUGAAGCAACAAAUGCCCUGCUUCCAGGAAAAGCCUCUAAGCAUCAGGUAACAUCAAAUCGUACCCCAAACCGACACAGGUGGUCAGGUAGAGAAUACCAAGGCGCUUGAGAGAACUCGGGUGAAGGAACUAGGCAAAAUGGUGCCGUAACUUCGGGAGAAGGCACGCUGACAC